This 311-nucleotide ribosomal RNA is filed under the name uncultured bacterium. Its description in RNAcentral is "bacterial SSU rRNA". It matches the Rfam family "Bacterial small subunit ribosomal RNA", at positions 28 to 334 of the family's 1533-position model. The record is from RNAcentral.
GACGAACGCUGGCGGCGCGCCUAACACAUGCAAGUCGAACGAGCGAGAGAGAGCUUGCUUUCUCGAGCGAGUGGCGAACGGGUGAGUAACGCGUGAGGAACCUGCCUCAAAGAGGGGGACAACAGUUGGAAACGACUGCUAAUACCGCAUAAGCCCACGACCCGGCAUCGGGUUGAGGGAAAAGGAGCAAUCCGCUUUGAGAUGGCCUCGCGUCCGAUUAGCUAGUUGGUGGGGUAACGGCCUACCAAAGCGACGAUCGGUAGCCGAGCUGAGAGGCUCAACGGCCACAUUGGGACUGAGAUACGGCCCAG